AUUGAACGCUGGCGGCACGCCUAACACAUGCAAGUCGAGCGGUAGCAUAGUUAGUAGCAAUACUAACUGAUGACGAGCGGCGGACGGGUGAGGAAUACGUAGGAAUCUACCCUCGAGCGGGGGACAACCAAGGGAAACUUUGGCUAAUACCGCAUAAACUCGAGAGAGAAAAGCUGCUCGCAAGGGUGGCACUCGAGGAGGAGCCUGCGUCCGAUUAGCUAGUUGGUGGGGUAAGAGCCCACCAAGGCGAUGAUCGGUAACUGGUCUGAGAGGACGACCAGUCACACUGGGACUGAGACACGGCCCAGACACCUACGGGUGGCAG
RNAcentral lists this ribosomal RNA (325 nucleotides) under uncultured Pseudomonadota bacterium. RNAcentral's name for it is "bacterial SSU rRNA". It matches the Rfam family "Bacterial small subunit ribosomal RNA", at positions 30 to 351 of the family's 1533-position model. The record is from RNAcentral. Lineage: Bacteria; Pseudomonadati; Pseudomonadota.